Molecule: long non-coding RNA, 1095 nt
Organism: Colius striatus (speckled mousebird)
Lineage: Eukaryota; Metazoa; Chordata; Aves; Coliiformes; Coliidae
Exons: 2
Source: RefSeq, a predicted model, not a curated record
UCCCCCGCUUUGCCCCCCCCCCCCGUCCUGGGGCGCCGGCGCACUGCGGCUCCCGAACUGCGACAGGAGCUCAGGAAGCGCUCCCCCGCCCCUCCCGCCGGCGCCCAUCGCAGAGCGCCUGCGCGGCCGCGGCCGCCUUUCGCUGCUGCUCCGUCGCCGCUGCUUUACUCUGGUUGUUACCCACCGUCGCGGCUGUGUUGCGAGUAGUUUCUGGAGCCCUUCGGCGGGCGGCUGCCUGUCCGGCCACCUCUGAACACAGCCUGUCCGGCCCUGAGGCGGCGGGUGGCCCUCGCCCCGCCCGUCCGCUCGCUGGCUGGCUCACCGCAGCGCGCGCAGCGUCGCCUUACGCUCCUCAUGCGCCGCUCAGCAGCCGCGGCUCCUCCCCGGGCAGGCCCUGAGGCCACGGCCCGUUUGGGGCCUGGGGCUAUGGCUGGCAGCCUCACGUGUUUUCGUGGGGCCCGGCGGUCUCCAAGGGUUUUCUGUGAUGUCCCUGCUCGUCUUCUAAUCCGUAAAGAAUGUUCAGAUGGAUUGUUCUGGGUGUUCCAAAUACCCGAGAGGGCAAUGUAUGGAAAAACAAGAAGCCAAGACUGUUCUUCAGCAGUUGCCAGACCAUAGUGUGAAAAGUGUUCCCCUGAUUCGUGGAACAAUGAAUAUGGAUGGUAAUUUUUGGUAGCUUUAUUUGUUCUUGUGUAACUUGUUCUUGCUGUUCGUAAUGGCAGCUUGACAGGUGUCUUGGUAGACUAGCUUGAACCAGUUUUGUGGUGAUAUACACACGGAGGUCGCCUGGGGGACACCGUGAGGAAGACUACUGACUUCCUCACAUGACCACCUAAAGAGGAUGAGAAAGACCCCCAAGAUGGAACAAAGCAUACAGCAAGAAGGAGACAACCUCUUCCCAGAAAUCAUUACAUAUCCCAGCCCCCUCCUGGAAAAGUUACGAAUAUGUAUAAAGCCUGUCUCAUUAAUAUGUGUAAGGCCUAUUCAACCUGAACUCCAGAUGUGACAGGUGCGUCUUGGUAGAGCAGAGGCUCUCUGCACACCCAGCGCUGUUUGCUUGCUUUUAUUUGUUUAAUAAAUUCCAAAAUUUAAUUUAAA